Small nuclear RNA from Mustela putorius furo (domestic ferret), 128 nucleotides. The record is from Ensembl. NCBI's taxonomy places the organism in Eukaryota, Metazoa, Chordata, Mammalia, Carnivora, Mustelidae.
GUGUUCUGUGAAAGGGGAGGAGGUUAGCACUUCCUUUGACAAGGGUUGGAAGAGGCCCUUGGGCCUGAUAGCACCGAACAUAGUUCAGGCUUUGCCACCUAUUUCAUGGCAUCUGAGCAUCGUUUCAU